RNAcentral lists this ribosomal RNA (450 nucleotides) under uncultured bacterium. Its description in RNAcentral is "bacterial SSU rRNA". It matches the Rfam family "Bacterial small subunit ribosomal RNA", at positions 38 to 504 of the family's 1533-position model. The record is from RNAcentral.
GGCGGCGUGCUUAACACAUGCAAGUCGAGUGCGCGGUUGUAGCAAUACAACUGGCGCACGGCGCACGGGUGCGUAACACGUGGGUAACCUGCCCUUUAGUGGGGAAUAACCCCGGGAAACCGGGGCUAAUACCGCAUAAGAUCCGCAAGGAUGAAAGCCGUAAGGCGCUGAUGGAGGGGCCCGCGCACGAUUAGCUAGUUGGUAGGGUAACGGCCUACCAAGGCUAUGAUCGUUAGCUGGUCUGAGAGGAUGGCCAGCCACACUGGAACUGAGACACGGUCCAGACUCCUACGGGAGGCAGCAGUGGGGAUAUCUUGCACAAUGGGCGAAAGCCUGAUGCAGCGACGCCGCGUGGGGGAUGAAGCUUCUCCGGAGUGUAAACCCCUUUCGACCCGGACGAAUGCCCGCAAGGGAUUGACGGUACGGGUAUUAGAAGCCCCGGCUAACUAC